RNAcentral lists this ribosomal RNA (329 nucleotides) under uncultured eukaryote. Its description in RNAcentral is "partial 18S ribosomal RNA". It matches the Rfam family "Eukaryotic small subunit ribosomal RNA", at positions 1470 to 1796 of the family's 1831-position model. The record is from RNAcentral.
CCCUUAGAUGUUCUGGGCCGCACGCGCGCUACACUGAUGCAUUCAACGAGUCUAAAACCUGCUCUGAUAGGGGUGGGUAAUCUUUUGAAUGUGCAUCGUGAUUGGGAUAGAUGAUUGCAAUUUUUCAUCUUCAACGAGGAAUGCCUAGUAAACGCAAGCCAUCAGCCUGCAUUGAUUACGUCCCUGCCCUUUGUACACACCGCCCGUCGCUCCUACCGAUUGAAUGAUCCGAUGAAUAUCAUGGAUUGAGGAUGCAAGUAGGUUAGCCUAUCUUCAUCUUCGAGAAGUGAAGUAAAUCUUAUCAUUUAGAGGAAGGAGAAGUCGUAACA